Non-coding RNA from Arachis ipaensis, 356 nucleotides. NCBI's taxonomy places the organism in Eukaryota, Viridiplantae, Streptophyta, Magnoliopsida, Fabales, Fabaceae. The record is from RefSeq and is a predicted model, not a curated record.
GACACAACUGCUCCGACCAAUGGGAGACCGCCACCUAUUGCUACUACUACCCCCUCCCGUCAGGAGCCUUAGAUACACAUGAUGCCUACUCCGGGUGUGCCAAGAUCAUGCACUCAACAAGCCAAUGAACCUUCCAACACUGCCUCACAUGGUGUGCUGAGUGAUCCAGCUAUUGUAGUUCGCAGUCGAGCAGGAUCUUGUGGGGAAAGACAAAGCGCAUCUAAUAGUACCCAAGAUGUUCAGGGUCAAGGAACAUCCACUGCCACUGGUCACUCCAGCACAAGUGCUCCCAAGCUUAGAUAUGAUGUUGGCACUCACCUAAACCUGGAUUGAAGCGUAUUUCUCAGGUUUUUAAG